UGAGCAAUCUGCCCUUCUCAUCGGAAUAAGCGUUGGAAACGACGUCUAAUGCCGAAUACGACCUCCUUUCGCAUUAUCGGAGGUGGAAAGCUCCGGCGGAGAAGGAUGAGCUCGCGGCCUAUCAGCUAGUUGGUGAGGUAAUAGCUCACCAAGGCGAUGGACGGGUAGCCGGCCUGAGAGGGUGACCGGCCACACGUGGGACUGAGACACGGCCCAGACUCCGUAGGGA
This 229-nucleotide ribosomal RNA is filed under the name uncultured bacterium. Its description in RNAcentral is "partial 16S ribosomal RNA". It matches the Rfam family "Bacterial small subunit ribosomal RNA", at positions 118 to 346 of the family's 1533-position model. The record is from RNAcentral.